RNAcentral lists this ribosomal RNA (252 nucleotides) under uncultured Bacteroidales bacterium. RNAcentral's name for it is "partial 16S ribosomal RNA". It matches the Rfam family "Bacterial small subunit ribosomal RNA", at positions 524 to 776 of the family's 1533-position model. The record is from RNAcentral. Lineage: Bacteria; Pseudomonadati; Bacteroidota; Bacteroidia; Bacteroidales.
UACGGAGGAUGCGAGCGUUAUCCGGCUUUAUUGGGUUUAACGGGUGCGCAGGCGGCCUGUUAAGUCAGCGGUAAAAGCCCGGGGCUCAACCCCGGCGAGCCGUUGAAACUGGCGGGCUGGAGUUGGAGAGAAGUACGCGGAAUGCGCGGUGUAGCGGUGAAAUGCUUAGAUAUCGCGCAGAACUCCGAUCGCGAAGGCAGCCUACCGGCGCGCAACUGACGCUCAUGCACGAAAGCGUGGGUAUCGAACAGG